AUGAGAAACUGACGGUGAUACUGGCUACUUGCUGCGAUAAAGAGGGUCUGUCAUUCGGAAACCUGGAAGCUAGUGUGAAGGAGAGAAUGCUCUCAACCUGAAGACAAGUGAGCCAGUGAUGUGUGUCUCUCAAUACGACUGAUACAGCAUUUCCUGAAGCUGCAAGAGGAAAAGAACUCACAUGUGAGAAGUAUAGGCAAACAAGGAGUACAUCUUGUGUUUGUGGUCACAUGGUACAUUCUCACUGUUUGGAACAAGAAAAGUGUGUUGGAAUUCCGAAAGAGUCCUCAUCAUGACUGAUUUCCCCAUUUUUAACGCAGCAACUUUAGGGUCUCCCGACACCACCACUCACAUCGAUUCCUUAGACCCGCCUGUGGAGGAGACCCACAUGAGAGUACACACCAUAAUCAUCGUCAUCAUUUUCUGCGUCGUCUGCUUUCUCCUCUUGGUGGCCUUUUUCUACGCCUUCUGUUUCCACUGCACCAUUGCUCCCGUGCCAAAAGAGGGUCAGUCUCAGGCCAAGUGCAACUUGGAACGUGAAGAUGCUACUUACCGUAGGAGCUCCUCUCUGUCUGUGGUCAACUCUAUCUGAAAUAAUGCAUCUACGAAUAAGAAAAAAGCUCAAAUUAGAGGACCUAGUAGUAAAAAAAGCACUGUAGAUUACAGGAAGACCAGAAGUCAAAGCAGCUGUCACCUAGUUGUUUCUUUGCAGUCAAAUAAUUGUAUUGCUAAUUUUGCUGUAUAAGGAAUAUAAUGAAUUUUUGACCACUCUUGUCCUGUCACAUAAUUUGUAUGAGAUUCACAAGCAUUACUCAAGGUUAGCUCACAUGUGACCAAUGGGAUUGUGUUUUGUAAAUUGCUAUCACAAAUCAAAAGCAGAGCUGUGUAUUGUUGAUCAAUUGAUAGAAACACUUGAUAGUAGGACUUGGAUUACACUCACUACAAUAGAAUAUUUGUUCUCGCCAUUAUUGUACCUUGUUUUUCUAGUAAUCUUCUCUAUUGUUUUUCCCUUGUGUGGUAGAUUGUUAAUGGGAUUUGUAAAUACUCAGAAAUACAUGGAAUAGUCCACUAGAGGGCUCUAUUUAUUUUGUAGACUUGUGCUGGUUACACUGAUGAUAUAUUGAUUUAUGCCUGCAGGAGAGUUUGGCAUGUUCGAGAUUGAAUGUGCAGUGCUUCCGGAACAUUUACUUUAAUACAGGAGUGAAUUAUUCACCAUCAACCUCUGCUUUGUUUUUGCACUGAAGCGAAGAUAAUACACCUUGAACUUGCACUUGGUGGAAAAUCUUCUCAACACUGUAUGUGCAGUAUGUAAGGCAUCUAAAAAAUAAAUCUUUGUUUUUUUUUUC
Lepisosteus oculatus (spotted gar) is the source of this 1346-nucleotide long non-coding RNA. RefSeq lists it as uncharacterized. The record is from RefSeq and is a predicted model, not a curated record. Lineage: Eukaryota; Metazoa; Chordata; Actinopteri; Semionotiformes; Lepisosteidae.